Molecule: long non-coding RNA, 1346 nt
Filed under: Triticum aestivum (bread wheat)
Lineage: Eukaryota; Viridiplantae; Streptophyta; Magnoliopsida; Poales; Poaceae
Description: long non-coding RNA (TAES_LNC021597)
Source: RNAcentral
AGUUUGUAUACGAAGUGCGUCCAGUUUUUGCCGUGACCCUCUCUACUCUUUCGCGCAUGCUAUGCGGGUGAUCUGAUGAUACCAUGCCAAGUUUCAACAUUUUCAGGAUUCAUUUUGUAGUGAUUUUCAAUUUCACAGUCAUUUAGCUCUCUAAACAAUUAGGUAAAUGACCGAAAACAAUAAAUGAUGUCAGAACAUGUUGGAAAUUGAUGACGUCGCUUUAAAUGCUGCAUACUGAACAUAAAAGAAGUCCGGAGUUUAAAUAAGUUAUUAAAAAUAAAAAAGAGGUGCAAUGCUGGUUAAUUUGCUUCAAGCCAUUCGGAAUAGUGUAGACUGCACUGCACAUAGCUCAGUGCAAUCUAUGCUAUUCCGCAAGGCUUGAAGCUAAUCAACAUGUAUGUGAGUAUUGCAACUCUUCGUCAUUGUCUGUGCACUCACGGCUUAUAAACCGCUUAUACUGCCUCUCUCUUGGCGAAGAUCACAAGAUAGUUUGGUUAAAUUGCAUUACUGGUAAGUCCAGUUAACAUGGAUGCUUAUGAUGCAAGAGCAAUAGCAAAAGUGAAAAAUUGGCACAAAUAGGUAGUUGUGUAACUAAAAUAGGUAGGAGGAGAGAUAGCUCUUAUGUCACAAAAAAGAAGUUGUAUCAAACCUUUUAUGUCGGAUCUAGAACAAACCAAUCGGUAUCGCCAUCAUACAGCCCAAUCGUGGCUCGUGAUGCAUAUAUAUGCAUAUCAAAUGCACGGUUGGACGUAUGAUGGCGAAUCCGAAUGAUUUGUAUUCAGUCGAUGAACUGGUAGAUGUAUGCAGUCGAUGAACUGGUAGAUGUAUGUAGUCGAUGAACUGAAAGACUUAUGCAGGGAAGGCGAGAGGUGGGCUAUAUAUAGUGCCGUCUGUCUCACAAAGUGAUUGUGGUAGAUUCGAUGCAACGACUCACAUGAGCUAGGAAGAAACACAUCCUUGAUCCAAUGACUCGCAAGAGCUAGAAAGAAACACACGAUCCGUGUGAUUCUUCCUGAUUGGUGGGAUGUACAUUAGUACCCACUCUGGGCUUCGGUGAAAGUUGUAGUGAUACUCGGAAAGAGUUUGUCCAGUUUGUACAUGAAGUGCGUUCAGUUUUUGCUGUGACCCUCUCUACUCUUUCGCGAAUGCUAUGCGGGUGAUAUGAUGAUACCAUGCCAAGUUUCAACAUUUUCAGGAUUCAUUUUGUAGUAAUUUUCAAUUUCACGGUCAUUUAGCUCUCUAAACAAUUAGGUAAAUGACCGAAAACAACAAAUGAUGUCAGAACAUGUUGGAAAUUGAUGACGUCGCUUUAAAUGCUGCAUACUGAACACAAAAGAAGUCCGGAG